CAAAAUAAAUAAAUAUUGUAUAUGCCACGGACCCUAUCAAAUUCAUUUUGAACAAAAUUUAAUUUGAUUUGCCGCCGUUUAUAUAAUCUUUUGGUCGUAGUUACUAUAAAAUAAAACCAAAUUUUCUCGGUCGAAACAUAACGUACUCCAAACACCAUGAAACUACAGCUGUUGGCAUUAUUAUUGUAUUUGAGCCAUAUGUGCGAGGGGCAAACAGCAGGAUCCUGUCACUAUUUCAGCGAGACAAAGAUGGAUUGGUUUGAAGCAUUAUUCACAUGCCAACGAAAGCAAAUGUGUUUGGCAAACAUAAAAACACAGCGUACGUUUGAGGAAUUUGAAAAGAAACUAUUAGGAAAUUUUCGGGAUGAGUUUUGGUUUGGUCUAAAUGGAUAUGAGAAGUAUACAUUCAAAUAUGCUGCAGAUGGCGCACCGCUUGGCUAUAUGCCACCAGAAGCGAUGAUUCAUUUAGAUAAGCCCUGUGCUUUCGUCAAACCCCUUGGUAAAACACAUUUCACCUUUGAAACGGGCAAUUGUGGACGACCCAGACGAUUCGUGUGCUCCGCAGCACGCAAAUGCAACGGCAAGGAUACAAAUAGCACAUUUUCGCCAUCCCUUACGGCCGAACUGCCAUGUGAAAUCACAAGAGACAUCUUAGGAAAGCUUGGUAUAAAGCCCACAGGCACAGAGGAUUAUUGAAUAGAAAAAGCUCAUCAAAAUUUACCUAUCAUUGAGCUAAGCAAAAUGAUUACAAACUUUAAAUUGCUGUGAAACUUUAAAUUCAAUUUCACGAACUUGCGAGUUUAA
Drosophila montana is the source of this 804-nucleotide long non-coding RNA. RefSeq lists it as uncharacterized. The record is from RefSeq and is a predicted model, not a curated record. The transcript has 2 exons. NCBI's taxonomy places the organism in Eukaryota, Metazoa, Arthropoda, Insecta, Diptera, Drosophilidae.